CAGGAUUAGAUACCCUGGUAGUCCACGCCGUAAACGGUGGGCGCUAGUUGUGCGAACCUUCCACGGUUUGUGCGACGCAGCUAACGCAUUAAGCGCCCCGCCUGGGGAGUACGAUCGCAAGAUUAAAACUCAAAGGAAUUGACGGGGCCCCGCACAAGCAGCGGAGCAUGCGGCUUAAUUCGACGCAACGCGAAGAACCUUACCAAGGCUUGACAUAUACAGGAAUAUGGCAGAGAUGUCAUAGCCGCAAGGUCUGUAUACAGGUGGUGCAUGGUUGUCGUCAGCUCGUGUCGUGAGAUGUUGGGUUAAGUCCCGCAACGAGCGCAACCCUCGUUCUGUGUUGCCAGCAUUUAGUUGGGGACUCACAGGAGACUGCCGGGGUUAACUCGGAGGAAGGUGGGGAUGACGUCAAAUCAUCAUGCCCCUUAUGUCUUGGGCUGCACGCAUGCUACAAUGGCUGGUACAAACGGCUGCGAUACCGCAAGGUGGAGCGAAUCCGAUAAAGCCAGUCUCAGUUCGGAUUGGGGUCUGCAACUCGACCCCAUGAAGUCGGAGUUGCUAGUAAUCGUAGAUCAGCAACGCUACGGUGAAUACGUUCCCGGGGCUUGUACACGCCGCCCGUCACAUCACGAAAGUCGGUAACACCACAAAGUCAGUGGCCCAACCGCAAGGAGG
This 675-nucleotide ribosomal RNA is filed under the name uncultured Actinomycetes bacterium. RNAcentral describes it as "bacterial SSU rRNA". It matches the Rfam family "Bacterial small subunit ribosomal RNA", at positions 773 to 1449 of the family's 1533-position model. The record is from RNAcentral. Lineage: Bacteria; Bacillati; Actinomycetota; Actinomycetes.